GAACUGAUUAUGAGCAUCUUCAGAUAUUUAUUUCUGGCUGAAUUUUGGCUGAAUUUUGGACUGAUUUUGGCCUCAUAGUCUUAGGAAGAAUGAACCUAGGGAGGUAGCUAUGCAUUGUAGUUGUGAAGCAAUGCACCUUUGAUGUUGAACAUUUUUGUGUAAAUUGUGAUGGAACUCUUUUGACAUAUCCAAUACCACAAUCAAAUCAGAAAUUCAGACCAUUGAACAAGACUUGAGCAUCUUACUUGUCAUGUCUCUUUUUUUACCCCCUCUGUUACUCUUUCUUUCUAAAUAGAAGAAUAAUUUUCCCCCUCCUAUCCUCCAAUUCCUCCCUUACCUGGGUUGCAAUAUCCUUUGUAAGAGUUUGAUGUCUCAGCUAACCAGCAACAGAAUUAAGCCACUCUUACUUAAGGUAAGUUAAUCAGUCAAGAGUAAGUUGUACCAGUGCACCAAACCCAAGUCAACGUAUAGUUGAACAAUAUAUCCUGAAAGUUCUGGAAACCCCACGUAGAAGAAUUGGCACCAAAAGUGACGAGAGUGAUGACAUAAGUGAGGACUUAUAGCUGUCAAUUGCAAUCCAGUGUUCAAAUGACAUAUCCAAUUCGCAACAAUAGUAAUAUAACCGAGAGAUGAAGAUGAAAUUCAUCAAAAAUAAUGAGGGAGGGGGCUGUGAGAAAUUGAUGCAAAAUUCAUCCAGGGUUUAAGAAGGAAGUGGAAAGGAGAUUGGCAGAAAAAAAUGUGUGCAAACCAGAAGUCUGAGGGAUUUCUUGCUCUAGAAUUUGGACAGCAACGGCUCAUUAGAUAGUUGAAUGCAACUUCAAUGGAGAUCCCUUAUAUUGAGAUACAAUUGCAACAACUUAAUAUGAAUAAAUUAUAUCAUUUCACACACGAUUUAGCUUGAAUCUGCAAAUGGGAAUUAAUUUGGUCUUGUUUGCUCAAGAAAAAUAAAAAAUAAAAAUGCAAAUCCUUGACAAUUUUGAUUUUUCUGAUGAUACUGUAGAAUGUCAACAAUUGAAGGCAGCAGUAAGCAUUGGCUCUGAUGCAUACUUGAUUUAAAACCAUAUCCAUCCUAGAAAAAUAACAUGCAAAUUUACAUAUUAAACUUUUUGUUCCUAAGAUGUUUAAAAGAAGAAUAAGACAAGCAAAUUGGACCCCUCAUGAUCCGGUUUGAGCCACAAUCAAUCUUCUCCUAUGAGGAGGUACACUAUUAUUUUUUUAUUUUAUUUCCUUUUGUUUCUUUUUUUUUCUUCUUUUUCU
RNAcentral lists this unclassified non-coding RNA (1257 nucleotides) under Hevea brasiliensis (rubber tree). Lineage: Eukaryota; Viridiplantae; Streptophyta; Magnoliopsida; Malpighiales; Euphorbiaceae. The record is from RNAcentral.